This 407-nucleotide ribosomal RNA is filed under the name uncultured bacterium. Its description in RNAcentral is "partial 16S ribosomal RNA". It matches the Rfam family "Bacterial small subunit ribosomal RNA", at positions 28 to 526 of the family's 1533-position model. The record is from RNAcentral.
GACGAACGCUGGCGGCGUGCCUAAUACAUGCAAGUAGAACGCAGUUUCGAACGGGUGUGUAACGCGUAGGUAACUGCCUCAUAGCAGGGGAUAACUAUUGGAAAAGAUAGCUAAUACCGCAUACUGUGAGAUGGACCUGCGUUGUAUUAGCUAGUUGGUGAGGUAAAGGCUCACCAAGGCGACGAUACAUAGCCGACCUGAGAGGGAGAACGGCCAAACUGGGAAUGAGACACGGCACAGGCGCCGACGGGAGGGAGACGAAGGAAAGCAUCGACAAUGGACGGAAGUAUGGACGAGAAACGCCGGGGGAGUGCAGAAGGUAUUCGGAUCGUAAAGCUAUGUUGUUGGAGAAGCGUUAACUACACAGGAAGGGACGGCUAACUACGUGCCAGCAGCCGCGGUAAUUC